GUGAGAGGUCUGGAGCGAGGGCCAUGUCCUUUCUCUCCUGUUCACUCUCUCUGCAAAUGGACUGCACCUCUAUGGUUAUUUCAGCUCCAGUGGGCAGAGGGAGCUUAACAGAAGAUGGAGCCAUGAAUUUAGUUCUGAGCUUUCUGACCACUGAGGCAAAACCAUGCAUCCCUAAGAGAUGCCAGCCUCUGUCCACAGCCACUGCGGGUGUUGGGCUCCAGAGAAUGAGGAGAUGGCAAUUCAGUGCUUGCUGUGGUGCUGAACACAGAGCAAGCUGCUGAGGUGGGAGAGGGAGAGGAAGGACAGGGCUUUAACUUCCUCUGUCCCCACCCAUCCCCAGGAGCAGCAGAGGGUGGAGCUGCUUCGAAAGGCUGUGCAGGCCCACCGAGCCUACACCGACCGCGCCAUCCGAGGGGAGGCCUUUGACCGGCACUUGCUGGGUCUGAAGCUACAGGCCAUCGAGGACCUGGUGAGCAUGCCUGACAUCUUCAUGGAUACCUCCUACGCCAUUGCCAUGCACUUCAACC
This 527-nucleotide long non-coding RNA is filed under the name Rattus norvegicus (Norway rat). Its description in RNAcentral is "long non-coding RNA NONRATT019140". Lineage: Eukaryota; Metazoa; Chordata; Mammalia; Rodentia; Muridae. The record is from RNAcentral.